GGAUUUUUGUUAGAAAAAUAUAUUAUUGUAGUUCGGAUUGGGUUUUUGUUAGAAAAUAUAUAUUUUAAAUUGACGAUUGAAUUAGUUCAUUGUAUUCAUAAAGGGUCAAGGAGUGUAGCUAUCAAAAAUCAUCAAAAUCGGAGUUAAAAUAACCGUUAAAUCAUGAUUUUUUAUUUACAACCGUCGAAAAGUUUGUCCUGUUACUUGAUCUCUGAAUUUUUAUUUUUUCUGUUUUUUGGCGUAUAUGAUCUCGAAAUAUAAACAAACAAGUUUGACGGUUGGAUCGUUAAAAC
Molecule: long non-coding RNA, 293 nt
Filed under: Prunus persica (peach)
Lineage: Eukaryota; Viridiplantae; Streptophyta; Magnoliopsida; Rosales; Rosaceae
Description: long non-coding RNA (PPER_LNC001294)
Source: RNAcentral